AUAAAAUGUUUUAUGUUUAAAAUCUUUAUAUAAUUUUUAUUUAAAUGUAAAUUUUUGUGUAAAAAAUAAGAUUUUUAAAGAAAAAUUUAUUUAAUAUUUACAAUAAAAAAUUUUAUUAAUUUAAGAAAUUAAGAAAUAGGAAUAAUUUUUAGGUUAAACAAAAUUUGUGCCAGCAGUUGCGGUUAUACAAAUUAGGCAAUAAAGAUAUUUUAGAAUUAGUAUUUAUAGAGAUUUAAAAUUUAAUUAAAUUAAUUAAGUGAAAUUUUUAAUUUUAAAAUUUUUUAAAGAUAAAAUUCUAUUAAGUUUUAAUAUAAACUAGGAUUAGAUACCCUAUUAUUUAAUAAAUAAAUUAAAUUCUUAGUUAGUAAAAGUUUAGUAUCUAGAAAAUUAGUAAUUUUGGCGGUAUUUUAGUCUAUUCAGAGGAAUUUGUCCUGUAAUUGAUAUUCCACGAGUAAAUAUACUUAUUUUUUUAGUUUAUAUAUCGUUGUAGGUUAAGUAUUUUAUUUGAAACUUAAUAUUUAAGAGCUAAAAUAAUAGAAGAUAUCAAAUCAAGAUGUAGCUGAUAAAUAAGAAGAGAUGAAUUACAGUUUAUAUAAGUUAUUUUUGAUGAAAAUAUUUUUAGGAUUUGAUAGUAAUUUUUUUAUUAUUUCUAAAAUGAUAUAAGCUCUAAAAUAUGUACAUAUCGCUCGUCGCUUUCAUUAUAAAAUGAAAUAAGUCGUAACAAAGUAGGUGUACUGGAAGGUGUACCUAGAAU
Molecule: non-coding RNA, 754 nt
Filed under: Scolytoplatypus wugongshanensis
Lineage: Eukaryota; Metazoa; Arthropoda; Insecta; Coleoptera; Curculionidae
Source: RNAcentral